AGAGUUUGAUCCUGGCUCAGGAUGAACGCUGGCGGCACGCCUAACACAUGCAAGUCGAACGGAGUUUAUGGGAGCUUGCUCCUAUAAACUUAGUGGCGGACGGGUGAGUAACACGUGAGCAACCUGCCUUUCAGAGAGGGAUAGCUUCUGGAAACGGAUGGUAAUACCUCAUAACAUAUUGAUACGGCAUCGUAUCAAUAUCAAAGAUUUAUCGCUGAAAGAUGGGCUCGCGUCUGAUUAGCUGGUUGGUGAGGUAACGGCCCACCAAGGCAACGAUCAGUAGCCGGACUGAGAGGUUGAACGGCCACAUUGGGACUGAGACACGGCCCAGACUCCUACGGGAGGCAGCAGUGGGGAAUAUUGCACAAUGGGCGCAAGCCUGAUGCAGCGAUGCCGCGUGAGGGAAGAAGGUUUUCGGAUUGUAAACCUCUGUCAUCGGGGACGAAAAUGACGGUACCCGAGAAGGAAGCUCCGGCUAACUACGUGCCAGCCGCUGC
This 497-nucleotide ribosomal RNA is filed under the name uncultured bacterium. Its description in RNAcentral is "bacterial SSU rRNA". It matches the Rfam family "Bacterial small subunit ribosomal RNA", at positions 8 to 518 of the family's 1533-position model. The record is from RNAcentral.